Molecule: RNase P RNA, 344 nt
Filed under: uncultured Anaerobutyricum sp.
Lineage: Bacteria; Bacillati; Bacillota; Clostridia; Lachnospirales; Lachnospiraceae
Description: Bacterial RNase P class A
Rfam family: Bacterial RNase P class A
About the family: Ribonuclease P (RNase P) is a ubiquitous endoribonuclease, found in archaea, bacteria and eukarya as well as chloroplasts and mitochondria. Its best characterised activity is the generation of mature 5'-ends of tRNAs by cleaving the 5'-leader elements of precursor-tRNAs.
Source: RNAcentral
AGUCGGAUAAAUGGUCGCUCCUUUAUGGGUUGAAAGACCAAAGGAGAGGAAAGUCCGGGCUUCGCAGGGCAGGAUGCCGGAUAACGUCCGGUGGAGGCAACUCCAAGGAUAGUGCAACAGAGAUAUACCGCCGCCCCCUGGGCGGUAAGGGUGGAAAGGCGGGGUAAGAGCCCACCGAUUUUCUGGUAACAGGAAAUGCCAUGUAAACCCCAUCCGAAGCAAGACCGAAUAGAAAACAAUAACCUUGCCCGGGUUGUUUUCAGGUAGGUCGCUAGAGCCUGCCGGCAACGGCAGGAGCAGACAGAUGACCAUUCACGACAUAACCCGGCUUAUCGUCCGGCUCU